GGAUGUGAGGGAUAUCCGGCUGUGAAAUCUGUCCCCCCGUUGAUCACCAGUGUUGAUUUGGCUGAUCUGGUUGGCUAGGUGGGUGUCCCCUUCCUCCCUCACCACUCGACGUAUGUUCCUCCCGAAGCUGUGAGCUUAGUCAAAGAGAACAACCUUCCCCAAAUAGAGGAGGACCAGUUUUCGGUCGAGGGUAUACAAGUAGCUGUGCUCCCCUGUUAGAACCUCCAAACAAGCUUUCAUAAUUUAGGAAGCUAUAGUAAGGAUGUAUCUGGGUCAUUUAGGAAAUAGCUCAUCUUUCUUGUGAU
Molecule: small nuclear RNA, 305 nt
Filed under: Jaculus jaculus (lesser Egyptian jerboa)
Lineage: Eukaryota; Metazoa; Chordata; Mammalia; Rodentia; Dipodidae
Description: 7SK RNA (ENSJJAG00000008066.1)
Rfam family: 7SK RNA
About the family: 7SK was discovered as an abundant small nuclear RNA in the mid-70s but a possible function has only recently been suggested.
Source: Rfam by way of RNAcentral